Meleagris gallopavo (turkey) is the source of this 432-nucleotide non-coding RNA. NCBI's taxonomy places the organism in Eukaryota, Metazoa, Chordata, Aves, Galliformes, Phasianidae. The record is from RefSeq and is a predicted model, not a curated record.
CCUUUGUUUUUCAUGUUCUAGGCUCAGGAGCGAUCAGAAAGUGAAGAACUGGCAUAUAUCAAGCAGCUAGUCAGAAAGAUCCUUAUAGUUAUUGCUCGUCCUGCUCGUUUACUGGAAUGCCUGGAAUUUGAUCCAGAAGAGUUUUACUAUCUUUUGGAAGCAGCUGAAGGCCAUGCUAAAGAGGGACAAGGCAUUAAAACAGACAUUCCCCGCUACAUUAUUAGUCAGCUGGGCUUAAAUAAAGAUCCUUUAGAAGAAAUAGCUCAGCUAGCUAACUGUGACAGUGGGACAGCAGAAACUCUGGAAAUGGAUGAAUCAAUAACUAGCUCUAAUACCUCACUACAGCUCCGGAGAAAACCUCGAGAAAGUGAUUUUGAAACAAUUAAACUGAUUAGUAAUGGAGCUUAUGGGUGAGUAAUUCAUGUUACUGUA